CUCGACUUCACACACUGUGAGCACAACCCAGCCCUCUGAUUGGCUGUUGCCCGGGGUAACCACGGACGCUGUGGGCACGCGGGGGCCCCCGGCCGGUAUUUGAAGCAGCUCGGGCCCGCGCUCCCCUCAGUCCGGCCUGGACCGGCUACCACACUGGCACCUGAGCUGAGAGAGGGUGCAGCAAGUGCCAUGGAUCUUCCUCAGAAGAACAUGAAGGAAGUUGCUUCUGUGUAUAUGGUUCUCUGCCAUGGCCUCAGCAAUCCAUAAUCCAUGAAUGGAGAGGAUUCCCCAUGGUCAGAUAUCAAGUACUGCAACUUGCACAUCUGGUUAUAUUCCCAGCUCUGGAUGGAGGGAAGACCUGGAGUGGUGAGGAAUGGUGAGAGGCAACAGGAAGAGCAUUUUUCUUCUCACUCUGCCCUGGAGAGACUCAGAGUCACUACCCUCUGGGUGGCAUUAGGGGAAGUCAGUGCUGUGCUGGCAGAGCACAGUCAGAGUUGAAGCCAAAAAAAGGAAAGAAAAAAUAAGAAAGACAACACCUACAUUCUGAUUGCUGAAGCUGCAAAGCUAAAAAUCACUUUGCAAUGGAGGUUCAUUCCAAUAGUUUGAUUUUAUUCCCGUCCUGUUGACUGAGGUGAAAUGUCAGCCCUGCAGCUACCUUUCAUCAACAUGCUUAGAAAAAAUCCCCGGGCCAGGUAAGUGGCACAGUGGAUAGAGCAGGGGCCCUGAAGUCAGGAGGACUUGAGUUCAAAUGUGGCCUUAGGCCAAACACUUGACCCUUACUAGCUGUGUGACCCUGGGCAAGUCACUCAACCCCAAUUGCCUAAAAAAAACCAAACUCCCCAAACUAUUGAAAUACUUUGAGGAAGCCUCAACACCAGUCACUUCAUGUCUCUCACCUAUUUGCCAGCUCACAUCAUGUAAAGGAGAAAUUAGGUGACUUGGAACAAAGCCCCAAUGCAAUUACCUCGUCAUGGAUUGGAAUGUUCAUUUGCAGAAAUGGCCUCAGU
This 1007-nucleotide long non-coding RNA is filed under the name Phascolarctos cinereus (koala). RNAcentral describes it as "lncRNA (ENSPCIG00000033485.1)". Lineage: Eukaryota; Metazoa; Chordata; Mammalia; Diprotodontia; Phascolarctidae. The record is from RNAcentral.